GAUGAACGCUGGCGGCGUGCCUAAUACAUGCAAGUCGAGCGAACAGACGAGGAGCUUGCUCCUCUGACGUUAGCGGCGGACGGGUGAGUAACACGUGGAUAACCUACCUAUAAGACUGGGAUAACUUCGGGAAACCGGAGCUAAUACCGGAUAACAUGUUGAACCGCAUGGUUCAACAGUGAAAGACGGUUUUGCUGUCACUUAUCGAUGGAUCCGCGUCGCAUUAGCUAGUUGGUAAGGUAACGGCUUACCAAGGCAACGAUGCGUAGCCGACCUGAGAGGGUGAUCGGCCACCCUGGAACGGAGACACGGUCCAUGCUCCUACGGGAGGCAGCAGUAGGGAAUCUGCCGCAAUGGGCGAAAGCCUGACGGAGCAACGCCGCGUGAGUGAAGAAGGUCUUCGGAUCGUAAAACUCUGUUAUUAGGGAAGAACAAAUGUGUAAGUAACUAUGCACGUCUUGACGGUACCUAAUCAGAAAGCCACGGCUAACUACGUG
Molecule: ribosomal RNA, 497 nt
Filed under: uncultured bacterium
Lineage: Bacteria
Description: partial 16S ribosomal RNA
Rfam family: Bacterial small subunit ribosomal RNA
Source: RNAcentral